CCAAAGGCUCUUUUCAGAGCCCCCACUGUGUCAGAGAAAGAGUUG
Molecule: non-coding RNA, 45 nt
Organism: Cricetulus griseus (Chinese hamster)
Lineage: Eukaryota; Metazoa; Chordata; Mammalia; Rodentia; Cricetidae
Source: Rfam